This 511-nucleotide ribosomal RNA is filed under the name uncultured bacterium. RNAcentral's name for it is "bacterial SSU rRNA". It matches the Rfam family "Bacterial small subunit ribosomal RNA", at positions 10 to 522 of the family's 1533-position model. The record is from RNAcentral.
ACUUUGAUUAUGGCUCGGGAUGAACGCUGGCGGCAUGCCUAACACAUGCAAGUCGAGCGAGAAGCUUAGGAAAGAGCCUUCGGGUGAUGGAAUAAGCGGAAAGCGGCGGACGGGUGAGUAACGCGUGGGUAACCUGCCCUAUGGAGGGGGAUAACGUUUUGAAAAGAACGCUAAUACCGCAUAAGCGCACAGUAUCGCAUGGUACAGUGUGAAAAACUCCGGUGCCAUAGGAUGGACCCGCGUCAGAUUAGCUAGUUGGUGGGGUAAAGGCCUACCAAGGCGACGAUCUGUAGCCGACCUGAGAGGGUGAUCGGCCACAUUGGGACUGAGACACGGCCCAAACUCCUACGGGAGGCAGCAGUGGGGGAUAUUGCACAAUGGGGGAAACCCUGAUGCAGCAAUGCCGCGUGAAGGAAGAAGGUUUUCGGAUUGUAAACUUCUAUCAGCAGGGAAGAAAAUGACUGUACCUGACUAAGAAGCCCCGGCUAACUACGUGCCAGCAGCCGCGGUA